This 2041-nucleotide long non-coding RNA is filed under the name Sus scrofa (pig). Its description in RNAcentral is "lncRNA (ENSSSCG00065046333.1)". The record is from RNAcentral. Lineage: Eukaryota; Metazoa; Chordata; Mammalia; Artiodactyla; Suidae.
GCGCUGGAGUGAUGGAGGGGAAGAGAUUCGCUUAGACACACACACGCGCACACAGCUGGGCACGUCUCCGGGAGGCAGCCGCCGGGGGCCGGGCGGCGGCCGUGACAGCACCAGCCGCAGGGACUCGGGCGCCCACACAGCUUGGCCCCUGCGGCUCCAAAGACCGGGAAGGCAAGAUCCCAGCCUCACUGACAGUUGCUCUUUUGGGCAGAUCAGGAGGAAGCAGGCUGCCCAGGGUGCUGUCACCGAGGACCCAGGAGGCUCUCCGUUCGGCGCUCAGAGUCCGGGGCCGCGCCGGUGCCCGCGUGGGGCGAGGAGGAUGCUCACCUCCUCCCGCAGAUCAGCUGCGGGCCCCGGCACUGAGCGGACUCCGGUUCCGGCGGUCGCCCCUACCUUGCCCGCGCCGCGGGAGCGCGCUCUGCCGUACCUGGCUCCAGCCUCCUGGGGAAGUGCAGGAAACGAGCCCUAAACUCCACUACUUCUCGCCGGCCUCCUCCCCCUCGAGGCUCCCCGCCCUGGACCUCGCCGCCGCCGCCGCCGCCUGCGCCUAAGGCCCGCCCGCCUCUUACUCUCACACGCGCACGCACAGCUCCGCUAGCUCGCUCCCAUCCACGCAGACUCGCUCUCCGCCGAGCCCAAGCCCGGGCGUCCGAAACUACUGGCCCAACUGCCAACGGGACUGCAGGAGACGCCCCGGGGCCCGGUGCGACCUGCCGGGGGCCCCCGCGCCCUGGGCUCCCGCCUGCGCCACUGUCGCCGCCGGGGACGUUGAGGUAAUCAGAUACCCAGAGGCUACAGCGCGAUGUCUUCCCUUCUCAAUGGCAUUUCUGGUGUCCACCUCAGGAGUCUCCUUGGCCAGCCUUGAAACACUUGGAAAUUAAACAGAGAAGCCACUGCAUAUAUCCUGGAAAAUCUCCAUCCUGUGUGUUCAGAACUCUCUGAAUAAGCAUAAGGAUUUGAAGGCGCUAACAGAGUGGGAAGCAAGCCAAGAGGACAGCAGUAGGUGUACAGAGGCCAUGGAAUACCCACCAACCAGAUAAUCAUCGCUGGAAUAACUGGAAGUGUCUGAAUGUAGGUAUGUGUACCGAAGACUUCUCUGUGCUCUUUCAGUAAGUAACUGUUAUCUAGCUCUCCCAUCAAUGUUAUUCAUACACCUGCAGGCUCAUCAGCCUUUUGAAAGCACUGCUUGGUGGGACUUGGAUGCACAUGCAAGCAUGCACAUAGCCACUCAGAAGCACAGGAGGGCCUCCCUCCUCCCUGGGCGCCUGGAACAUUCUCCAAAAUGACCUAAACCUGUCUUCCAAUUCUCUCAUCCCAGUAUUCCCAUAUAGCAUUCCCACACCUUCUUCCCACGGACACUGAGCCUUGUUUCCUGAGCACAGAAAGCUGUUGUCUUGCCUUCCUAACAGAAAUAACUUUCCCAUAUCCUCUUUGCUGGCUUAAGUUCUCUUUCUCCUUCAAGACCUAAAUCAGUUUUCACCUAUAUUACAACAUCUUGCUGAUUCCCCCUCCCAAUUAUUUCCUUCUUUCCAUAUGUCUGUAGAGCUUGUAUUCAUACCUCCCCUCUGGCAUUUGACAACUUGUAUCAUGAAUUGCUGUUUCUCUCUUUAUGCAUCUGCCCUGUGUCCUCAGUGUAGCUGUUUGUUUUUUAAGAGACAGGAUCUAUUGUAUUUUUGCAGACCAGAGACCAAGACCAAGGAAAAUGGGCUGGUAAAGAGCUGCUGUGAUGUAGGGACGCAACAAAGAGGGGUGGUUAAGAAUAGAGUCUGGGGAGUUCUGGGCAUGGCCCAUGGGUAAGGAACCAGACUGUAUCCAUGAGGAUACAGGUGGAUCCCUGACCUCACUCAGUGGGUUAAGGAUGCAGCGUCACCUUGAGCUGUGGUGUAGGUUGUAGAUGCUGCUUGGAUCCCGAGUUGCUCUGGUUGUGGCUUAGGCCAACAGCUGUAGCUCCAACUGGACCCCUAGCCUCAGAACUUCCAUAUGCCACUGGUGCGGCCCUAAAAAGCAAAACAACAACAACAACACCCAAAAAAAACAAAAA